RNAcentral lists this ribosomal RNA (322 nucleotides) under cf. Rhabdoblatta sp. MNHN BL80. RNAcentral describes it as "partial 16S ribosomal RNA". The record is from RNAcentral. Lineage: Eukaryota; Metazoa; Arthropoda; Insecta; Blattodea; Blaberidae.
CUCUUCUUGAAUAAGUAGGAAGUAUAACCUGCCCAAUGAUAUUUUUAAUGGCCGCGGUAUACUGACCGUGCAAAGGUAGCAUAAUCAUUAGUCUUUUAAUUGAAGGCUGGAAUGAAUGGUUGGACGAAACAAUAACUGUCUUUAUUUAAUUAAAGUUGAAUUUAAUUUUUGGGUAAAAAAGCUUAAAUAAUUUUUUGGGACGAGAAGACCCUAUAGAGUUUAUAUAAGAAUUUUGGUGUAAUUAGUGUGUGAUUUAUUGCACUAUAGAAUUAUUUAAUUGGGGUGAUUGGAAGAUAAUAGUAACUCUUUUUAUUGUUUAUUA